Molecule: long non-coding RNA, 1922 nt
Organism: Boleophthalmus pectinirostris (great blue-spotted mudskipper)
Lineage: Eukaryota; Metazoa; Chordata; Actinopteri; Gobiiformes; Gobiidae
Exons: 4
Source: RefSeq, a predicted model, not a curated record
GAACUGCACCCCGACAGAAACAUUAACAUCCGUCAUUCUUAUUUUAUUUCUCUCAAAAACAUUUAACUGUUGUAGCUCUGGUGUACAAACAGGGGUUUAAACAACUAUAAUCUACUUGUUCGCGCCAUAGACUUUAAAUGUUUAGGAGUUCUUUUAUGGCCAGUGACAGGAUUCACAGGGGAGCAGUGUCCCCCAGAGCACGGGGCUUAUCUCCGCUCACACGCCGGGCAGGAGGCACUGUGAGCGGCCGCAGAGGACACGCCGCUGCGCUGGAGCUCCCACACUUUUCUUCAUUCUGAGGUCCGGUUCGGGUCAAAGUCAGGCGGGCUCCGGUUUGCACAUGUCCCGGGACCCUCUGGAGCUUCUCCGUGUAUCUGCGGAGACCCGAGGCUCAUUCAUCCGGUCCAGCGGUGUUCGGUCCCCGCGCACGCCGCCGACAGGGAGCUCUGAGCGGCCACUGGCUCCACGAAUCUCCCCCAGGACCGCAGCUUUUCUGAGGUUUAAAUGAACUUUCACAGGAGGGAUCCAAAAGGAGAAGUUUGCGUUCUGGGUUUAGAUGUUAAAAGUUUCACUGAACCGAGCGGCGUUCAGCUGUGAGAGUGUCCGAGCAGGAGGCACUUUGAGCGGACACAGAGCACCGCGAGGCCCCGCUGUAGCUCCGUUAGCCUUUAGCCUUUAGCCUUUAGCUCCUUUAGCUCCAGAGAAGAUGCAGAGUGUUGAAGCUUCUGAGGAAACGAACCCACGACCUGGAGCCGUGGGACCGCUGCAAAACCAAGCGCGUGUGUUUGGGGGCGGAGCUUGUGGCUGAGUGUCCAAUGGAAACAUGCGACAGUUCAAAUCUGACCAAUCAGCUGCAGUCUCAGCCGCACGUGCAGCUCAAACCCAGUUUCAGCCCUGGUCUUAGUCCCGGUCCUGGUCCUGGUCCUGGUCCUGGUCUGGUCUGUCAGCGCUGCCUCAGGGGAGAACCUGGACACAUGAACCACAUCCUGGGCCUCUAACCAAUCAGAGGACAGCUCUGAGGAACGCCACACCAGACCGACCAAUCAGAGGACAGCUCCAGUGCAUCAUCUGGGUUCAUUUUGAUUUUUAGUUUUUGGGUUUAAAUGAAGGGACAAACCCGACACCUCCAGAGUCCAGACGGCUCCUGAACCGUGACAGAACUUUAGAAAGUCUCAGUCUUGUUUUUCUGUACUUUUAAAAUCCACAUUUGAAAAUCCCAGGUACUUCAGACCGUGAUGGUCGACUAAACUUCAGGGCUAGAAACUUUUACACAGAAUAAGAGCUCAUGGAGACGCAGGCAGGGCAUCUGACUUAAAGUUUGAAUCAAGAUUUCAUAGCUCAGCUGUGAACCAAAACCAAUUUAUGUCUUUUAAAUUAAUUUGUAUUUAAUUUUAGUGAAAUGCCUUUGUGAGAAAAAGGCAGAUGUGGUUUCCAUCUGUUUAUGAUUCAAAGUUUACUCCUGAAAAUAUUAAACAUAAAAAUGUUCAGACUGAAAAUGUUUGACCUGAACAACCUUUUUGUUAGGGUUAGUUUGUUUUUUUGUUUGUUUGUUUGUUAGGGUUUGUUCAUUAAGGAUUUGCACUAAAGACACAAAAGUGAAGCUCUUUAAACUUUUAUGCAAAUCAAAAGUGACGAAGCAGCCAAUCACAGAGCAGCCUUCAGCUAAAAGCAGUUUUUGGGCAUAAUUUUGGUAUUUAAUUUUUUUAAUGCACUUUUUUUAAUUGUCAAAGUUUGCACCGUCCAAUCACAGUCCUUCCUUCCUCUGAGCUGACGUCUGAUUGGCUCACGGGCUGUGAUGUCAUUCCACACUCCUUUGAUAUUUCAGAAAAACUUUGAAUGUAAAAAUAAAUUUGAUAUUUUUGUAGAUGUAUAUUUUUGACUGAAGCUUUGUAUGAAUUAAAAAAUAAAUCAUUCUUAAAUUU